Stegodyphus mimosarum is the source of this 73-nucleotide non-coding RNA. Lineage: Eukaryota; Metazoa; Arthropoda; Arachnida; Araneae; Eresidae. The record is from Rfam.
GCCUUCGGGGUGUAGUGGUCAGUACGCUCGACGCCUAUUCGAGAGGUUCGGGGUUCCAGUCCCGGUGAGGGCA